CGACGUGGGCGGUUCGCCGCCGAUGACGUCGCGAGAAGUCCACUGAACCUUAUCAUUUAGAGGAAGGAGAAGUCGUAACAAGGUUUCCGUAGGUGAACCUGCGGAAGGAUCAUUG
RNAcentral lists this ribosomal RNA (115 nucleotides) under Eugenia pitanga. Its description in RNAcentral is "partial 18S ribosomal RNA". It matches the Rfam family "Eukaryotic small subunit ribosomal RNA", at positions 1718 to 1831 of the family's 1831-position model. The record is from RNAcentral. Lineage: Eukaryota; Viridiplantae; Streptophyta; Magnoliopsida; Myrtales; Myrtaceae.